Molecule: ribosomal RNA, 254 nt
Filed under: uncultured bacterium
Lineage: Bacteria
Description: partial 16S ribosomal RNA
Rfam family: Bacterial small subunit ribosomal RNA
Source: RNAcentral
GACAGAGGUGGCAAGCGUUGUUCGGAUUCAUUGGGUGUAAAGGGUGCGUAGGCGGUUUGGAAAGUCAGAUGUGAAAUCCUACAGCUUAACUGUAGAACUGCAUUUGAAACUCUCAGACUAGAGUAUGGAAGAGGUGAAGGGAAUUCCCGGUGUAAGGGUGAAAUCUGCAGAUAUCGGGAAGAACACCAGUAGCGAAGGCGCUUCACUGGUCCAUUACUGACGCUGAGUGCACGAAGGUGUGGGGAGCAAACGGG